This 253-nucleotide unclassified non-coding RNA is filed under the name uncultured Phycisphaeraceae bacterium. Its description in RNAcentral is "contains 16S-23S intergenic spacer region". It matches the Rfam family "Bacterial small subunit ribosomal RNA", at positions 524 to 776 of the family's 1533-position model. The record is from RNAcentral. Lineage: Bacteria; Pseudomonadati; Planctomycetota; Phycisphaerae; Phycisphaerales; Phycisphaeraceae.
UACAGAGGGCCCGAGCGUUAAUCGGAAUCACUGGGCUUAAAGCGUGCGUAGGCGGAUAUGCAAGUACUUUGUGAAAUCCCACAGCUUAACUGUGGAACUGCUUGGUAGACUGCAUAUCUUGAGGCCGGUAGGGGUCGUCGGAACUCUAGGUGGAGCGGUGAAAUGCGUAGAUAUCUAGAGGAACGCCAAAGGGGAAGCCAGACGACUGGGCCGGUUCUGACGCUGAGGCACGAAAGCGUGGGGAGCAAACAGG